Calidris pugnax (ruff) is the source of this 384-nucleotide non-coding RNA. The record is from the annotation of a RefSeq genome assembly. NCBI's taxonomy places the organism in Eukaryota, Metazoa, Chordata, Aves, Charadriiformes, Scolopacidae.
UCUGGAGGAUCAGACCCCUUCUCCAUCCUCCUCCUCCUCCUCCUGGCCGCCCUCCCAGGGCUGCGGGCGGCCGUGGAGCUGACGGAGUCCGGAGGGGGCACCGUGACACCCGGGGGGUCCCUCACCCUCCGCUGCAAGGCCUCCGGCUUCACCUUCAGCGACUACGGCAUGCAAUGGGUGCGACAGGACCCUGGGAAGGGUCUGGAGUUCGUCGCACAAAUUAGCAAGGAUGGUAGUGGCACAGAAUACGCGCCGUCGGUGAAGGGUCGCUUCACCAUCUCCAGGGACAACUCCCAGAGCACGGUCACGCUGAAGAUGAAGGACCUCAAGGAGGACGACACGGCCACCUACUACUGCGCCAAAAGUGCUGAUGGUGAUGGUUGG